AUGAAUAUCCUAGCCUGGAACUGUCGAGGACUGGGGUUGGACUCGACAGUAGGCAAACUCAGAGACCUGAUUAGGUCAUACAACCCAGCGGUGGUGUUUUUGUGUGAGACAAAGAAGAGAGCGCGGGCAAUGGAGAAGAUCAAGUGGAGUCUUGGUUGCAGAGAUGGGGUUGCGGUUGAUUGUUGUGGUAAAAGUGGGGGCAUAACUCUUUGGUGGCGUGACAAUGUUCAAGUUGCUGUUAGACCCUGGUGUUAG
RNAcentral lists this ribosomal RNA (255 nucleotides) under Triticum aestivum (bread wheat). RNAcentral's name for it is "partial small subunit ribosomal RNA". The record is from RNAcentral. Lineage: Eukaryota; Viridiplantae; Streptophyta; Magnoliopsida; Poales; Poaceae.